AACAGAAACACACAUUAAACAAGGUAUACGUGGAUCAGUUGAUGAAAAUUUUGUGAACAAAUACGUGUCAGAACAUAACCCUGUAUUUCCCCUAGGGGCAAUGAUUCCAUAUUAGCUAAUUCAGUAUUUAUAGUGACUUUAUAGAACAUAAGUACUGUUAACAAUGAGAAUCACUUAAUUUUAAAGACAGUGACAGGAUAUGUUAAUGGCUUGAAAAUGGGUUAUGAGAGAAAGAGGACUUUAAGGUAUUUGGCCCAAACGACAGAAUGGAGUUGCCAUUUGCUUAUGUGGGAGGAGCAUUUUUAGUGGGUGAGAGGAAAUCAUGUUUGAUCUAAGUCACACUAAGUAAGAAAUGUCUUUAGACAUCCGAGUAGAGGUCAUAAGUAAUCAGCAAGACAUAUGGGUCUCUACAAGAGGGUAUUGAUCCCACAUUUCAACUCUAUCAGCUACUUCAACUGUAUGCUCUUUCUUUACUAAUCCUCUGGGUUCUCACCAGGAGGAAUCAACCACAACAGCCAGUGAGUGGAUAGAGAAGGAAGUGGGGUGAGGAAGAGAAAAGAAACCAACUGUAUCCCUCUUUAUCCUGGCAGGCCAGAGUUGAGGAGUUUGGAGUUUUGGUCAUUACAAUGGAUUUGACUAUUUAAGCUUAUAAGCAACUUUUUAUUACUCAUGACUGAUAGAAAAGCUGUGGGAUCUGCCUGAGUUUUUAUCACAAGGUUGGGGAAGAAUGGGCCCAAAGUGUGAGUUUCACAGGAAAAGAUAAUGCAUCCUAGUAAGUACAACUAUGUCUAUAACUUUAAUUAUCUUUCAUAUGCUUUAGGCUUUCAGAUUUACAUCUUCAAACAAGACCUUUUUUACAGUCUUUAGACCCAUAUAUCUAUCUGCCUACUUAAUAUUUCUAUUUGGGUGUCUCAGAGGUUACUCAAAUUCAACAUGUGUGGCAUUGAACUCAGAGUCUCCUUACCAUACCCACCUUCCCUUUACCUCUCAAAAAAAAAAAAAAAAAAAAGCUGGUCUCUUUUCACUUUCCUAUUUUGGUGAAAGACACCAUCAUCCAUCCACCUGGAUAUGUCAGACCCUUGGACAUUAUCCUUGAUGUCUCCUCACUCUAAUUGAUAUUACUUCCUCAUUCUCGAUAACCAAUUCAUCAUUACACCCUGGGAUUUCAACUUCCAGAUUAUCUUUUGAAUCUGUAUACUUCUUCUCAACUCUGCUGCCAUCACUUUCUGGGCAGCGUUAGAGAACAUGGGAUAUGAGCUAGACUGCCUGGCUUGGAUUUCUUUCCCAUUGCUUGUUAUUUUUAUGACCUUGUCAAGUCACUCAACAGCUCCAAAGUUCAUUUUCCACGUUGUAAAGAUAUUUACAAUCUCUAAUACAUAGUAUUAUUGUAAGUAUUACAUGGGAUAUAGUAUAUCUGGUGGAUGAAUUCUAAAUGAGCUACUGUUUCAGAUCGGCUUAAAAAACGGUGCACCACGAGACUAUAUCCCACACCUGGCUCAGAGGGUCCUACGCCCAC
Molecule: long non-coding RNA, 1516 nt
Filed under: Homo sapiens (human)
Lineage: Eukaryota; Metazoa; Chordata; Mammalia; Primates; Hominidae
Description: HSALNT0140034
Source: RNAcentral